UCCCAACGCCCCGCCCCCGCGGCCCGGCUAUAACGGCUGCGCCGCGCGCCGGGAGGCGGCAGCGCAGACACGUGACCCCGGUGACGGGGGCGGGUAUGGGACCGUGACCCGCGGAGCUUGUCCUGCCCCGGGGCAUUCAAGGAGCUGUGAGGAGAGGGCAGCUGGUAAACGUUGGAGGCAGAACUAAAAGCCCUGUAGUGUGUUAUCAGCAGUGCUGCAGGUAAUGUGGAAAAAGCUGUUUUAGCAGUGGCUUGGUGAUCCAUAAAUAAUAAAUCUGUGAUUGGCAAGUUCCAGCCAUAGAAUCAUAGAAACGUAGGGCUGGAAAGGACCUCAGGAGCUCAUCUAGGCCAUCCCCCUGCACUGAGGUAGGACCAAGUAAACCUAGAUCUUCCCUGACAGAUGUUUGGCUAACCCAGGGGUGGCCAACCUGUGGCUCCAGAGCCACAUGCGGCUCCUUCAGAAGUUAAUAAGCGGCUCCUAGUAUAGGCACCGACUGCGGGGCUGGAGCUACAGGCGCCAACUUUCCAAUGUGCCGGGGGGUGCUCACUGCUCAACCCCUGGCUCUUCCACAUGCCCUGCCCCCACUCCACCCAUUCCUGUUCCCUCCCUGGAGCCUGCCGUGCCCUUGCUCCUCCCUCCCCCAGCACACCAUGGAACAGAUGAUCAGGCAGGAGGAGGAGGUGCCGAUCAGUGGGCGGGAGGCACUGGGAGCCGGGGGACUGAUGGGGGGCUGACGACGUAUUACUGUGGCUCUUUGGCAAUGUACAUUGGUAAAUUCUGGCUCCUUCUCAGGCUCACGUUGGCCACCUCUGGGCUAACCUGUUCUUGAAAACCUCCAAUGAUCAGGAUUCCACAACCUUCCUUGUAAGCCUACUCCAGGGCUUAACUAUCCUUAUAGUUAGAAUUUUUUUUUCCAGUACCAACCUAAAUUUCCAUUGCUGGAGAUUAACUUCAGUGGACAUGGAGAACAAUUGAUCACCAUCCUCUUUAAACCAGUUCUUAGACUUAUCAGGUCUCCCCUCGCUCUUCUUUUCUGAAGAUUAAGCAUGUCCAGUUUUUUUAAUCUUUCUUCAUAGGGCAGGUUUCUGGAGGUGGUGAGUGGUUCCAGCUGAGAGCGUUGCCUAGAAUAUUCCCUAAUGUCCCUCUUAACUUGCUUAGAGGAGGGCCCCCCUUGUGCCAAAUAACUUACAUGUGACCAUAAGCCUCAGUUGCAUAUGACCCCUCAUCUUCUGUCCCUAUCAGCCAGGUCUCCCUCUGCUAGGAUCUUCUUCAGUUGUGGGAGCCUAAAGUUAGGCAACUACAUAGAGGUGGCUGAGGUAGCAAGCAGCACAAUUCCUGUUGGAUUAAGGGCCUAACAUUAGCCUCCAUGUUUGAAAACACUGGCUCUAGCUCUUAACUGACCCUUUCAUUCUGACAUGCCAUUAAUGUAAACCAUCAGAAACUGCUUCCUUGAGAAAAGCAUUGCAGGGUGCUCAAGCUGCCCAAGCUACAGGCUAGGGACACUCAGACAGUGGUUCAGGAGCAAAUUAGCGAUCAACCUUACCCAAAAGAGCCACAGUAGUUUUUCAUUUACUAUUUUUAUAUUAUAUAUUUAUAUUAUAUAAUUCUCAUAGCAAAAUGACUGACCAAGAAUCAUUUCAUCAACUACAAUUGGUUAACAAUAUAGUAAAAGCAUCUUGAUUGGUUAAUAAUUAAAUUACACAGUGUUUUAAUAUGUGCUGCAAAGAGCUGCAGGAGACACAUUGAUAAGCCACUUGUGGCUCUUGAGUCUCAGUCUGAGUAUCACCAUUUUAGGCCUUUUGACAACUCCUUCUACUCAAGCAUGCUUCUUUGCACCCCCGCUCCACCCACUCUCUCUCUCAGCUGGCCAGGCAGUAGCCACACCCCUUCAUUCUUGCUGUCUCUCCCCAUCCUGUCCAGGUUCGUUACUGCCCCAAAGCUCAACAGGUAAAAAAUACAUCAGGACAGCAUGUUUUACAAUCCUGCUGUAUUCUAGAUUGAAUUUCCUGACAAGUGGGAAUUGUUUUCAUGGCACAAUUUCUGUCUGCAACAGCAGAAGCUUUGGCCCAAUCCAUGGUGAAUGUUUAGCUAUUGACCAACAACUUUCAAACCUCCCCUACACCAGGUAGACAAGGAAAUGACCCAGAUGUAACCGAUGGGGAAAUGCCUUUGAGAGUGUACAAAUCUGUCAAGAUACUGUGUUAGCUGUACUAAGUUAAUAAUUAUUUGUAUGGCAGUAGUUCACAGAGGCCCUGAUCAGAGCUCCAUUGUGCACAUACAGCACCUACCCCAGUGUUUAAAUCCACAUCAGAGACUCUGUUUUCACUGGAAUUUAAAAUAUAUAUAAUAUGUAAACAUUUCUAUUAAAGUUAUGUUUUGCAAAUUAUUUUUUUUAGAAAGCCUAAAUUUUGGUCUUAAAUAGACCUGAGUAUCCAUUUGAAUGUAAAGCCACUAUACGUUUUAGAAGCUUCACUGCCACCUCUUGACCUUCCAAAACAUAUCUUCCUUGAAUGAGCAGUAAAUCUCAGACAGCCUUUCUCCAUUAAAAAUAAUCGGCUCUAGAACACACAUUGUUUGGGUCCCCAGCAGCCCAAAUGGAAUUUUUCUUACCCAAUCGCUUCCUUUCUAGUAGAAUAAUCCCACACAAUCCAUAAUGGAUGGGCUCUUUUCCUGUGGGAUUUGGAGGUACAGGGAUGUGGCCAGGGUUCUGGGAACAUCAGACAUCAGUCACUAGAAAAGUUCUUCAAUUUAUCUAUUUCUUUUUGAUUUCUAAAUAACAAGAAGGGCCCCUGCACAAUCUCUGAGAAAUAGCAAGAAUGCAAGACAAAGGUGACAAGAGAAUAACCAUUUAUUAAAGGAGAAACAGUACACUCAUUCUUCAAAUUAAUACUGAUUUCCCUUCUUUUGUUCCUAUCACUAUAAUACAUUCGUUACCCCAAAUUUAAAAUGAUUACAGAUUUACUUUAUAUCAUGUGCCAGAUACUUGGUUGAUAAUCUUGAGAAAAAUACAUCAAAGGCUUAUAUACAGUUAUAGAAAAGAGUAACCCCUAUACUGUAUGUUGUACAGGUAGCAGGGAAGAUACAGUAUAGUUUCAGUUCUUUUUACAUAUGCUAGAAGACAUUCAAAAGAAGAUAGAUUUAAACCAUCUGAAUAAAUGAUUUAGGGCCCAGUGGGUCCACCCUGGUUCAUGUUGAGUGUUUUCUUACUAUAUGAGCAGCCCCUCUGAAACUAAUUUAAUUGUCUGUGUAAUAAGGUACAUCUCAACAUUAGUACGAGUGACACAAGCUAGACCACGUUGUGUUUCAUGGUUUAGAUUUCUUCAUUCCUUAUUAUGUUUUUGCUUAUAAGAAAAUCCACAAUUAUUAAUGUUGAAUUUUCCAUGUUACAUUCAUCUGAAAAUAAAAUAAAAACCAGGGAAACCAUAUCAUGAAAUAGUUAGCAUAAAUGCUUAGUUUCCUAUGGACUUCACUGAAAACUUGCUCGAGGAUACAAGUGUGCUGGAAGAUUUUUUUCACAGGAAACACAUUAAUAAAAAUCUCCCAAUACUGAGGUGGUUUUAUAUUUUUAAGUCAACAAAUGAAGUAGUCAUGUUGUACUGUUUAUCCCAUAAACAGGUCCUGUGAUGAGUUCUAAUAAAAUUUAAAAACGUGAA
Molecule: long non-coding RNA, 3653 nt
Organism: Chelonia mydas (Green sea turtle)
Lineage: Eukaryota; Metazoa; Chordata; Testudines; Cheloniidae
Exons: 2
Source: RefSeq, a predicted model, not a curated record